Molecule: long non-coding RNA, 523 nt
Organism: Exaiptasia diaphana
Lineage: Eukaryota; Metazoa; Cnidaria; Anthozoa; Actiniaria; Aiptasiidae
Exons: 2
Source: RefSeq, a predicted model, not a curated record
UGAUUUUGUUGUUUGUUUAAAGUGUUCAAAGCCAAAGAAUGCAGCAAUAUCCCAAUGUAAUGAAUGAUCAAUUGCAAGUUCAGCAGUCCCAAAGAGUUCUGCGAUUUCCCAAACAAAGUAACCAAUGAAGUCAGUAACGCGGGAACUACUUCAGUAUCUGCAAGUGAAGAUGCUGAUACGAAAAUGCAAAGGAAUAUCUUUGCUUAGCUUUGAUUACAUGUUCAUAUAUAAUGUUAUAUUAUAUAAACUUCUAAUAGAUAUUCUCCCGUUAGAAAUAUCUCUUUGUACAAGUUUUUGAUUAUACAUGUUACCAAAUGAAGUUGUGUGCAAACUCCACAUGACGUCAUAGUUCAUUACUUAAUUAAAAUUGUUUGUUGUAAAUGUGUUGUAAAAUAUUCCUGUCAACCAAUUUGCGCGUUCUGGAAAUUAGUUCGUCGCUAUUUCCUAAUAUGACCUAAUAUGGUGUACUUGUAAAUUAUAUAAUUAAGCUUGUGUUACAUGUGAUUAAAUCAGCUCUGCCUUA